Molecule: non-coding RNA, 421 nt
Organism: Camellia sinensis
Lineage: Eukaryota; Viridiplantae; Streptophyta; Magnoliopsida; Ericales; Theaceae
Source: RefSeq, a predicted model, not a curated record
UGCUCAAACUCUCUCUCUCUCUCUCUCUCUCUCUCUCUCUCUCUCUCUCUCUUCGAGGUUCUGUUCUUGUUGCUCACAUUGCAUAUAUAUAUAUAUAUAUAUACAGAUAUAGAUAUAUAAUCUAAAAACCAAGCAUGCAAGAAUCAACUAUUGUAUAGAACAUCUUGUCGAAUCGAUUCUAAUAGGCCGAUUUGCUAUAGGAUUUUUCGGCACCGAUGGAGCAGAUUUUGGAUAGACUGCAGGCAUUUGGUGAAUUUGAGUUCAAACAUUUUGGGGACAAGGUUAUUGUUGAGGAACAAAUAGAGAGGUACAUUUCAAUGCAGUUUGGUGAAACAGAUAUGUGCAAUUCUACUGUAUAGUCUGUUUUUAGUGGUGUAUAAUGUUGCUUAGUUAGAGAUAUUGCUCUUUGAUUGUUUUUGAA